UCCCUCUCUCCCUCUGUUGUUGUUCUACCCUGCAGUCACACGAGAUAACAUCAGGCUUUGUGAAUAGCUACGAUUAUUGCAACCCCCGCGAGGUGCCACACAUCACACGCAACGGCAGGCCGCCCUACAACUCAAGAAACAUGUCCGAGACAUUCCACACUCCAAGUUUUGGAGAGGACUUUGAGAUCCUGCCCAUCACCCCUCCCAGGAUGCCAGGAGAGGGCGGUACACCAGGAAUGAACCCCGCCUCGGCCGUAGGUUACCCUGAACACACCGCUGGAGGUGCAGGAGGAGGCGGAGGAGGUGGGGCUGGAGAACCCACCUUUCACACCGCCGGUAGCCCUCAACAGAUGUCCUCCUUGGCAUCCCCUCUCAACCCUCAACAGGCUACAAACGUCCCCAGCCCACGGACCUCUACUAACUCCCCCGUUCUGUCACAAUCCCAGUCCCCUGCCCUGAGCCACACUAUGAGCCCCGCAGGAACAUACACGACCUCCUUGUCGAAUGUGACACCCAGUUAUUCAAGUCAGUCGUCGCCAGUAUUUUCAGAUCAGCUCUCACACAUGACGGAGAGUCUGCCGGUCUCGACGUCGGGACAAGCCCCCAUCAACCCUCAGUUCCCCCCUCAGAUGUUUGACGUGCCACCCAUCACGGACGCGGCAUGCAGUAUGGGACACUUUAACAGCGGUAUGGACCCCACCGCCAUGGUCGCCUCCCUCGGGAGCUCCAUGUCCGGCGCCACCACCCACAUGAGCUCCUCCUACCACAUGUCACACCCCCAGCAACAGGCGCAACACCACCCCCACCCCCAGCAGCAGCAGCAGCAACAGCAGCUGCACCACCCCCACCAUCCCCAGCAAGCACACCAUCCUCAGGACAGCAGCAAUUUCUUCCAUCAUGGCCAUACAGAGAUGGGUCCGCCCCACCCUCCCGGUCCCCAGCACCUCUCUACCAUCAACCACUCACAGCUUGGUUUGGGCUUGCACCAUGGGGGACUUCCCCCUAUGUCACAGCAGCACCAUGCACAACUCAUGGCAGGCCAGACCGGCUCUCCCCCUCACAUGGUAGCCGGCAGGGCGGGGCACCUGGAGAGCAGUGAGGAUAGUGAUGACAACACUCCUCUUGCACAGUUUGCUGCUCAGGCCAAGCGACCAGAGGUUGUCAAAGAAACGAAAAAGAAGCCCCCCAAGCGAAAGCGCAAGAAGGACCCUAACGAACCCAACAAGCCGGUCUCCGCCUAUGCCCUGUUCUUCCGCGAUACUCAGGCGGCCAUCAAGGGCCAGAACCCUAACGCUAGCUUCGGAGAGGUCUCUAAGAUCGUGGCAUCUAUGUGGGAUAGCCUGGAUGCAGAGCAGAAGGCCGCAUACAAGCAGAGGACAGAAACGGCCAAGAAGGAAUACUUGAAGAAGCUUGCAGCGUACAGAGCAAGUUUAGUUUCCAAGGCUGCCGUAGACCAAAUGGACCCUGAGGAACAGUCCCCUAGUAAGCAGCAGAGACUGUCCGGUCCUGUCUCCGUUUCUCCCCCUCAUGGUGCCAACAUAGCCGGCGCCGUGGGCCAGCUCCAUCCCAAUGUUGCGCCCAGGGUCAUUGCGCCCAAGCCACCCCUAUCCAAUGCACCGGGAGGCGGUAGCAUGACCACCGCAGCGAGUCCGUACGGCCAGCCGGCAGCCAUGGUACAACCCAUGCAGAAUGUCCAGAGAGUUGUCAAACCGAUGGGACGUUUUCACUGGGUGGGUGGUGACGAACAAUGUAAGCUGCGGAAUGGUCCCUCAUACGGUCAAAUAGGCUGCCCAGACCCCCUCCGCGCAUCGUACGGCUGGUACCACGGACAACACCCCCCUGGGAGACAAAUGGACAUGCCCUAUGCUCACAUGUAAAUGUAUUUAUGAGCUGGAUUGAACCACUUAGUAAAUAGGGGUGGAGAGCACUGGUACAAAAAAUAUUAAAAAUUGUAAUCUGAAGUCUAGAAGAAGAGAAAACAACUGAAAAGAAAACAAGUGGACCUAUGAUGUAUUGUAUAUUUACAAUAUAUUUGUGUGGUUUGUGACCCUGUCCAACAAAUUGGCACCACGUUAUUCCUUUUUGUGGAACAUAUGCCCAAUUCCUGUUAAAUUGUAACUUGUUAUCAUGAAAGGUAUUAAUAAUGUCUGUAAUCUCACUUUAACCUAGGUGUAAUAUUUUGCUUUAGUAAUCAUUUUUAGUUCAACCCUUGCUUGAAAUAAAGGCAAACAGUUGUCAAAAUGACAUGAGGCAGUAUCAAAUUUAAGUGAGGGAGCCUACAUGAUUGUGUAAGGGAACACUCAUAUUGAGUGAAAGUCCAUGAAUUUGUGAAUGAUAAUGAUAGUGUUAUACAGUAGGCAUAAAGUUAAUAUCAGUCACUUGCAAGCCCAACAAAAGGUAUUCUAUAAACAGAGUCCAAUAAUGGUACAGGAAGCAAGAAUAAAAUGGGAGUUUAUUUAUGAGUGAAAUAUUUUGAACAAAAAAGGAAAUUUGUAGAGAUGUGUUGCCCAGCAAAUGUUCAUAACUGUAUAUAGAGAUUUUGUUCCCAGUAUUUUACACAAAUAUUACCUCCCUCAGUUGGAAUGUUAUUUUUGAUUUCGAUUAGAUUAGUGUUGGCUUGCCUGAAUUAAUUUUUAGACAAGAGUGAUUAUUUUUUCAGCUUCUUUCAUAACAUGUUAUUUGCUGACUGGAUAGGGUCCCAAACAUCAGUAUGGUGGCUCAGUGGUUUGUACGCUCAACCUUAAAGCAUUAGGUCGUAGGUUCAAAUCCUGUCUGGAAUAAAUAGGGUCCCAAACAGUUGCACAGUGGUUUGUGUACUUGACUCAUUAGGUCGUGGGUUCAAAACCCUGUUCCCGUGCUUAGGCCUGUGCCCUUUUGACAGGGCAUCUUGUGUAAAUUUGUCACUCCCUACAGAGGGGGAAAUUAUUAUGUACCUUGCGCGAUAUGCGUGCGAUCAUUGAAUUAGUUUAUAGCUUAUUUUCAUCCAUGAUACAUUCCAGUAUUGUAUACAUGUAUUGUCAUGUUAAUAUAUUUCUAUUGUUCAUUUUUGCUGAUAUAUAUAUAUCUUUUGUCUUAGCAGCAGGAAAGAAAUAAGAAAAGAUACAGAUAUUAAUUGUCUUAUGUACUGUAAUCCAUUAUCUCUUACAAAACUGAGCUGCCUGAAGGGCCUGUAUCAAGUGUUUUAAUGGAGAACAAGGAUUUGGAAUUAUAUUUUAAAAGGCCUACUUGAUUUAUGCAGUGAAAUGACAUAGGUCUUAUUGAAUUCUCAGACUUAUGAGAUGGAAAUGCUUGAAGGUAAAGAGCAGUUCUGGUCAUGCGAUUGCAUUGUGAAAGAAACGUGGUGGAUUCAAUCAGAAAAGGUUGAUCAUCCAAC
Molecule: RNA transcript, 3373 nt
Organism: Strongylocentrotus purpuratus (purple sea urchin)
Lineage: Eukaryota; Metazoa; Echinodermata; Echinoidea; Camarodonta; Strongylocentrotidae
Gene name: TOX high mobility group box family member 4
Exons: 7
Source: RefSeq, a predicted model, not a curated record